AACCCAUCAUGAGGGCACCGUCUCAAUAAGUCGUUAUACCUCUCUCAUGAAUCAUAUAGGGUCUCUAAGUUAAUCUGAACGAAUGAAGAGAUAUCAUUCCUCAACUU
Molecule: non-coding RNA, 107 nt
Organism: Gossypium raimondii (Peruvian cotton)
Lineage: Eukaryota; Viridiplantae; Streptophyta; Magnoliopsida; Malvales; Malvaceae
Source: Rfam